AACUAACGAGGAUUCCCCUAGUAACUGCGAGUGAAGCGGGAAAAGCUCAAAUUUGAAAUCUGGCAGUCUUUUUUUCCUUCUUUGGCUGUCCGAGUUGUAAUCUAGAGAAGCGUUUACCUGCGCUGGACCAUGUAUAAGUCUCCUGGAACGGAGCGUCACAGAGGGUGAGAAUCCCGUCUUUGACAUGGACUGCCAGCGUGUUGUGGUGCGCUCUCAAAGAGUCGAGUUGUUUGGGAAUGCAGCUCUAAAUGGGUGGUAAACUCCAUCUAAAGCUAAAUAUUGGCGAGAGACCGAUAGCGAACAAGUACCGUGAGGGAAAGAUGAAAAGGACUUUGGAAAGAGAGUUAAACAGUAUGUGAAAUUGUUGAAAGGGAAACGCUUGAAGUCAGUCAUGUCGGCUGGGGAUCAACCUAGCUGCUUCUGCUGGGUGAACUUCCUAGUCUGACAGGCCAACAUCAGUUCUGACUGCUGGAAAAGAGCAAGGGGAAUGUGGCACCUUCGGGUGUGUUAUAGCCUUUUGUCAUGUGUGGCAGUCAGGACUGAGGGAUGCAGCGCGCCGCAAGGCAGGGUUUCGACCACGUUCGCGCUUAGGAUGUUGGCUUUUAAUGGCUUCAAUCGACCCGUCUUGAAACACGGACCAAGGAGUCUAACAUGCCUGCGAGUGUUUGGGUGGUGAAAACCCUUGUGCACAAUGAAAGUGAAAGUUGAGAUCCCUGUCAUGGGGAGCAUCGACGCCCGGACCUGAGCUUUCAGCGACGGAUCUGCGGUAGAGCAUGCAUGUUGGGACCCGAAAGAUGGUGAACUAUGCCUGAAUAGGGCAAAGCCAGAGGAAACUCUGGUGGAGGCUCGUAGCGAUUCUGAC
RNAcentral lists this ribosomal RNA (862 nucleotides) under Amanita sp. RNAcentral describes it as "partial large subunit ribosomal RNA". It matches the Rfam family "Eukaryotic large subunit ribosomal RNA", at positions 63 to 890 of the family's 3401-position model. Lineage: Eukaryota; Fungi; Basidiomycota; Agaricomycetes; Agaricales; Amanitaceae. The record is from RNAcentral.